Molecule: ribosomal RNA, 241 nt
Filed under: uncultured bacterium
Lineage: Bacteria
Description: partial 16S ribosomal RNA
Rfam family: Bacterial small subunit ribosomal RNA
Source: RNAcentral
GCGAACGGGUGAGGAACACGUGAGAAACCUGCCUCGGAUUUUGGGAUAACAAAUGGAAACGUUUGCUAAUACCAAAUAACGUCGGAGAGUCACAUGACUUUCUGACGAAAGGAAUUCCGAUUCGAGAGGGUCUCGCGGCCUAUCAGCUAGUUGGCGGGGUAAUGGCCCACCAAGGCAACGACGCGUAGGGGGUCUGAGAGGAUGGCCCCCCACAUUGGGACUGAGAUACGGUCCAGACUCC